This 434-nucleotide ribosomal RNA is filed under the name uncultured bacterium. RNAcentral describes it as "partial 16S ribosomal RNA". It matches the Rfam family "Bacterial small subunit ribosomal RNA", at positions 29 to 507 of the family's 1533-position model. The record is from RNAcentral.
AGCGAACGCUGGCGGCAGGCCUAACACAUGCAAGUCGAACGAACCUUUCGGGGUUAGUGGCGGACGGGUGAGUAACACGUGGGAACGUGCCUUUAGGUGCGGAAUAACUCAGGGAAACUUGUGCUAAUACCGAAUGUGCCCUUCGGGGGAAAGAUUAAUCGCCUUGAGAGCGGCCCGCGUCUGAUUAGCUAGUUGGUUGAGGUAAUGGCUCACCAAGGCGACGAUCAGUAGGUGGUCUGUGAGGAUGAUCAGCCACAUUGGGACUGAGACACGGCCCAAACUCCUACGGGAGGCAGCAGUGGGGAAUCUUGCGCAGUGGGCGAAAGCCUGACGCUGCCAUGCCGCGUGAAUGCUGAAGGUCUUAGGAUUGUAAUAUUCUUUCACCGGGGACGAUAAUGACGGUACCCAGAGAAGAAGCCCCGGCUAACUUCGUG